AUGGCGAGGCAUCGCCUCCUUGCCGUGCUCAUGCUCCUCGUCGGGGUAGUGGCAGCCUCCACUUUCCACCAAGCGGCCGCCGCUGGCCGGGGCCUUGCUGCCGUCGAGAAGUUUGCGGACCUGGAGCCAAAGCCAAAACCUAAACAAGAGGCAAUGCCCAAACCAAUGCCGAAGCCUGAACCCAAGCCGAUGCCAAAGCCCGAGCCCAAGCCCAAGCCCAAGCCGAUGCCUAAACCUGAACCCAAGCCAGAGCCCAAGCCCAAGCCGAUGCCCAAACCUGAACCCAAGCCAGAGCCCAAGCAUAAACCAAUGCCUAAGCCAGAGCCUAAGCCGGAACCUAUGCCUAAGCCGGAGCCCAAGCCUAAACCUGACCCGAAACUAGAGCCACCACCAAAGCACAAGCCGCCAACAGCUUACAAUUGA
Molecule: ribosomal RNA, 423 nt
Filed under: Triticum aestivum (bread wheat)
Lineage: Eukaryota; Viridiplantae; Streptophyta; Magnoliopsida; Poales; Poaceae
Description: partial small subunit ribosomal RNA
Source: RNAcentral